This is a long non-coding RNA of Triticum dicoccoides, 442 nucleotides long. RefSeq lists it as uncharacterized. NCBI's taxonomy places the organism in Eukaryota, Viridiplantae, Streptophyta, Magnoliopsida, Poales, Poaceae. The transcript is spliced from 3 exons. The record is from RefSeq and is a predicted model, not a curated record.
CUCCAGCAGCGCGGCCAUUGCCCUGUUCUUCCCCUCCUCGCCCGCCCCAACUCCUCACCCCCAGCCUCCUCCACCUCGAGGAGGACAACUCCGAUUUGGACCUCAAGUACUGCCUCCCCGACACCUCCAUCCCCAAGUACAUCCUCCCGUCAGACGAGGACUAGAUUUGGAUUGAGGCACAACAGAGACGAGGAAGGACAAAGCAUGAAUAGCUCCAGUGAGAGUGAAUGGAUAUGAACACCAGAACCCUCUCAGAGGAUGUUGGCUGACCGGGAUACCCAAUUCUCAAACAAGCAUGCUGAGAUGCUCAAGAUAUGGAAGUUCGCCCACAAGCUCAGCCACCAAGUUUUUUUGGUUCAUGUUCAAUGGGAGGCGAAGAGUGUAGAGAGGGUAUCUGAUGUAGGUCCAAGGUAAACAUUUGUUUCUUUUAUUGUGUUGUGCA